AUCAUUCUCAAGCUGCCACGUGUCAGCACCCCAACAAUCAUCACUCUUCUAUCUUUAUGUCCCCUACCCGUGACCCUCUCUCCUCUUUCUUUCUUCUCUAUCUUUCUCUGCUAUCUCUCUCUUUUCUCUUUCUCUUUCGAAACCCUCCCAUCUCUCUCUUGUUCUCGCCGUGAACACACACACACACACAUACGCACACCAUCGCGUAAGGAAGAUCAUCAUCAUCAUCAGCAACCUCGUCCUUCUCUCUCUCUUCUGUCGCAGGAAGGAUGCUGAGAGCCCAGGAAGCUCCGGCGAGUUUCUUCUUUUCUUCGGUUAGGUUUUGGAGCUCGGGUUUAGGCACCCAUUCUUUGGCGAGGCCGUGGGUGUCGAGAGGUUUUCCAAUCACCACAGGUUGUUUCACGGCAAGUGGAAGGAGUUGAGAACGAGGAUUGGGACUUGAGCUACGAGGCAUUCCCCUAUCAUUAAUAUCGUGCUAUCUUCCUCCUGUAUCGACACCUUUUGUAAUAGCACUAUCUUAUCUUAAAUUCCGCAUGUACUCUGUAUUAGACGUAUGCUCUGGACAUAUUGUGCACUAUCUUAAUGUUUAAUUAUUAGCAGCUGA
Molecule: long non-coding RNA, 604 nt
Organism: Malus domestica (apple)
Lineage: Eukaryota; Viridiplantae; Streptophyta; Magnoliopsida; Rosales; Rosaceae
Source: RefSeq, a predicted model, not a curated record